UUAGUACUCCCUCCGAUCCAUAUUACUUGUCUUAGAUUUGUCUACAUACAGAUGUAUCUAGACACAUUUUAGUGUUAGAUACAUCCGUAUCUAGACAAAUCUAAGGCAAGUAAUAUGGAUGGGAGGGAGUACUAU
Non-coding RNA from Hordeum vulgare subsp. vulgare (domesticated barley), 135 nucleotides. Lineage: Eukaryota; Viridiplantae; Streptophyta; Magnoliopsida; Poales; Poaceae. The record is from Rfam.